UGAGUUUGAUUCCCCCUGGCUCAGAGUGAACGCUGGCGGUAGGCCUAACACAUGCAAGUCGAACGGCAGCACAGUAAGAGCUUGCUCUUAUGGGUGGCGAGUGGCGGACGGGUGAGGAAUACAUCGGAAUCUACCUUUUCGUGGGGGAUAACGUAGGGAAACUUACGCUAAUACCGCAUACGACCUUCGGGUGAAAGCAGGGGACCUUCGGGCCUUGCGCGGAUAGAUGAGCCGAUGUCGGAUUAGCUAGUUGGCGGGGUAAAGGCCCACCAAGGCGACGAUCCGUAGCUGGUCUGAGAGGAUGAUCAGCCACACUGGAACUGAGACACGGUCCAGACUCCUACGGGAGGCAGCAGUGGGGAAUAUUGGACAAUGGGCGCAAGCCUGAUCCAGCCAUACCGCGUGGGUGAAGAAGGCCUUCGGGUUGUAAAGCCCUUUUGUUGGGAAAGAAAAGCAGUCGGCUAAUACCCGGUUGUU
RNAcentral lists this ribosomal RNA (477 nucleotides) under Stenotrophomonas rhizophila. RNAcentral describes it as "bacterial SSU rRNA". It matches the Rfam family "Bacterial small subunit ribosomal RNA", at positions 1 to 473 of the family's 1533-position model. The record is from RNAcentral. Lineage: Bacteria; Pseudomonadati; Pseudomonadota; Gammaproteobacteria; Lysobacterales; Lysobacteraceae.